RNAcentral lists this small nuclear RNA (139 nucleotides) under Helianthus annuus (common sunflower). The record is from RNAcentral. Lineage: Eukaryota; Viridiplantae; Streptophyta; Magnoliopsida; Asterales; Asteraceae.
GUUACUUUCGGGGACAUCCAAUAAAAUUGGAAUAAUACGGAUAAAAUUAACAUCAAUAAAAUUGGAAUGAUACGGAUAAAAUUAGCAUGGUCUCUCUGCAAAGAUGAUACGUGCAAAUCGAAAAAUGAUCAAAAAAUAA